GCCAGGGAAGGGGUGGGGGCAGAGUCUACUGGAGGCUGCACACCCACCCCACUCACACCUACUCUAGAAAUCCCCAAUACACUGGCGAACGAACGGAGCUGGAUCAGGACAUGAAUAAGGAGGAAACUGUGAUCACAAACCCCGAGAAAAGGAAGAAUAGCACAGCUGUGAUGUCACCCGCAGAACUUGUGGCAGAGCCUUGGGGGUGCAGCUGCUCUGAGUCUAUAGGCUGGAAUCCUGAGCCGCGGCCUGGCCUGGCCUGCCUCCUACCAUGGGCUCCAGGCUGCUCUGCUGUGUGGCCCUCUGCCUCCUGGGAGCAGGCCCCUUGCACUCAGGUGUUUCCCAGACUCCAAAAUAUCUCCUCACACAGGCUGGAAAAAAGCAAUCCUUUAAAUGUGAGCAAAAUCUGGGCCAUGAUACAAUGUACUGGUAUAAGCAGGACUCCAAGCAAUCACUGAAGAUGAUGUUUACCUACAAUAAUAAGUUAAUGAUUGCAAAUGAAACAGUUCCAAGUCGCUUCUCACCUGAAUCUCCAGACAAAGCUCAUUUAAACCUUCAUGUCAAGUCCCUGGAGCCAGAGGAUUCUGCCUUGUAUCUCUGUGCCAGCAGCCAAGGCACAGCCCUGCAGAGUCACCAGCUGCCUGUGCACAAACCUUCCAGGCAGCCAGGAAGCUGUGGUGACAAUGAGUUCCCUGUGCCUGAGGCUCUGCUCUCCAUUCCUGUGGUCCCCGUGGAGUGUCAGUGUGCAGCAGCCUCCAGGGCGCCUGGUGGGCAGCUGAGUUCUCCACACACAGAGCCCUGCAGAAUCCCUCUGGUCAGCUGAGCAGGGACUCCACUAGCAUCACCCGCCCAUACAAAUCCACCAAGAGUGGAGAACUUCAAGUCCUUAAGUGAAGGAGCAGCCAUUCCUUGUCCUUAUCUGCUGUACAUAUGGCCACAUCUUGUCCAUUAUGUUGUCCAUGGAGACACAAAUUUAAAAAAUGUUUGAUGAGCACAAACCUGAAGAUAGGCCAGGGUGAAUCUUCCC
Marmota monax (woodchuck) is the source of this 1027-nucleotide non-coding RNA. Lineage: Eukaryota; Metazoa; Chordata; Mammalia; Rodentia; Sciuridae. The record is from the annotation of a RefSeq genome assembly.